UCUGGAGACAAAUGCUCUUCGGUUCCUGACCUCAGGGAUCUCCCAUGGAGACCAAGCAUGUGCUGUGGUUGAGCUCUGGAGGCUAGAUGUCCGAAAUCGAGGCGAUGUCAGAGUUGGGUCCUUCUGGGUGCUGUGAGGAUGCCGUUUGGAGUAGCUACUUUGAGGACAAGAGACAAAAAGCCUGAGGAGAAAGUCACCAUGAAGGAAACAGAAAGAUUAAAGAGUGAGCAUGAUCUUUGAUCCAGAGCCCCCAUCUCACCCUGGACUGCCUUCUUUUGGAAUUCCCUUGUGGAAAAAAAAAAAAAAAAACUCUUAUUUGGUUAAA
Molecule: non-coding RNA, 325 nt
Organism: Macaca mulatta (Rhesus monkey)
Lineage: Eukaryota; Metazoa; Chordata; Mammalia; Primates; Cercopithecidae
Source: RefSeq, a predicted model, not a curated record